GGUCAAGAUCACAUAGAUAAGGGCUCCAGACAUUAAGACAAGUGGAUAUGAACAGGAACAUCCUCCCUAAGAUUUUAGGAGUGCAUUUAUGAAGCAACAGCGUUAAGGAAGCAGCUGCAGGAAGACACUGUGCAGUGCCUGGCAGGUCUGGCAGCAUCUCUGAUGUGCAGAUACAGAAAAAUCAUCUUAACUGCAAAGAUCCUAAGUUUAAAUAACAUGGUAUAGCUGCACUUCUCCUCAUUGUCAGUCCUGAGCAGAAGCAGAAUGUGAUCUACCUACCAGAGACAGAAAGAUUGUCUUCACCAGGACAGCACGGCUUGGUUGGAUAUUUCACUUUCAUUUACAUCCCAGCACCCAUGAGGAGGGAUACCAUUAAAGUCAACCUUCAAGGAUGUGCUCUCACCUACAAAAUCCCACUAAGCUCAGUGCUUCUGCUACACGAAUUCUGGAAUGAGUUUGAAUUGAAGGUGACAAGUGUGCACUUCCAAAACACAGACCUUGUCCCCUACUUCCCUGCCAACAGCCUCGGAGAUCGUGGACUAGAGGAAGGUUAUUGAAUAUCCACAAAAGGGAAAGACACCCUAAAGCCCUAUACAAGUAAUGGGCAAGUCCUGGAGUGCUGUAUGCCACUUCUCUUUCAUAAAA
Molecule: long non-coding RNA, 645 nt
Organism: Pipra filicauda (Wire-tailed manakin)
Lineage: Eukaryota; Metazoa; Chordata; Aves; Passeriformes; Pipridae
Exons: 3
Source: RefSeq, a predicted model, not a curated record